AUUUAUUGCAUCAUCCCCGAAAGCCUUCUGAAUCGUCCAAAUAGUCUCUGCAGAGGAAUGUUCAAGCUUAACACAAAAUUUGAGGGAGAUUAAUUCCUCUAAUUGCUCAGCCACUCUGAAUGUGACGGCCACACAGUACACAUACUCACUCAACGGAAUUUAGCACCACCACUGACUAGUACAGUGAAGUCGUUAUUGUUCUCACAUGCACAUUUGAG
Molecule: non-coding RNA, 218 nt
Organism: Pelobates cultripes (western spadefoot toad)
Lineage: Eukaryota; Metazoa; Chordata; Amphibia; Anura; Pelobatidae
Source: the annotation of a GenBank genome assembly